Long non-coding RNA from Adelges cooleyi (spruce gall adelgid), 651 nucleotides. RefSeq lists it as uncharacterized. The transcript has 5 exons. Lineage: Eukaryota; Metazoa; Arthropoda; Insecta; Hemiptera; Adelgidae. The record is from RefSeq and is a predicted model, not a curated record.
UAUAGAACGUACUGCACUAUUUCAUAAUAUUUCAAUCACAGUCACCAAUCAGUAUUAUAAUACUCAUAUUACUUUAAAAAAUCUUCAUAAGUACUAUUAUCGAAUAGUUUCGAAACAGUUUUUAUUUUCAAAAGCUAUAAUCGGAAACUGAGUUUUUUUUAUAUAUAUUAACAUGCAUUUGAAAAAUAUACUGUUUUUCUGCGUGACGUUAUGCUUUUUUCAAUGUCAGGGUGCCCCACCAACUGAAAAACAACUUAUUAUGAAUAUUCAAAUGACCAAGUUCAUAUUGGCCUCCUAUCGUUCUCAACUGAAGCAACACCAAAGUUAAAUAAGUUGGUUAUAGACAUGGUAGCAAGAGAAAUGGGAAAAGUUGAAGAGCUAGACUUUAAUCAAGUAAGAGCUAUAUGUAUGAAAUUAGCCGAGCGACCUGAAGAUUUCGACAGUAUAGAUGUAUUUAAAAGGAGAGCAUCAGAAUUAGCCAAUAGAUUUAAUAAGCAGGAAGUUUUAAUCGUUGUCCGAGCGUUUGCUGCUAUAAAAGAACCGGGAUUAAAUGCAACAAUAGAAACAGAGAUCCAGAAAUAUAAUGAUCGUGAUGUAAAAGAAUAUGAAGAGUUUAAAAAUAUAUUCUUGAAUGUAAAACACAUAUGGAAA